This 468-nucleotide ribosomal RNA is filed under the name uncultured bacterium. Its description in RNAcentral is "partial 16S ribosomal RNA". It matches the Rfam family "Bacterial small subunit ribosomal RNA", at positions 28 to 507 of the family's 1533-position model. The record is from RNAcentral.
GACGAACGCUGGCGGCGGGCUUAACACAUGCAAGUCGAACGGAAAGGCCCUGCUUUUGUGGGGUGCGCGAGUGGCGAACGGGUGAGUAACACGUGAGUAACCUGCCCUUGACAGUGGGACAACUUCAGGAAACUGCGGCUAAUACCGGAUAGGCGCUCCAGCUGCAUGGGGGGGGUUGGAAAGUGGCGGCGGUUGGUGAUGGACGCGCGGCGUAUCAGCUUCUCGGUGGGGUAGUGGCUUACCACGGCUUUGACGGGUAGGCGGCCUGAGAGGGUGGCCGGCCACGCUGGGACUGGGCUACGACCCAGACUGCAACGGGCGGCAGAGGUGGAGAAUAUCACACAAUGGGAGGAAGCAUGAUGCAGUGACGCCGCGUGCGGGAUGACGGCCAUCGGGUUGUAAACCGCUUUCGCCUGUGAGGAGGCGUGAGUGACGGUAAUCGGUAAAGAAGUAACGGCUAACUACGUG